GGAUGGGAUCAUACCCAGCACUAAAGCACC
This 30-nucleotide ribosomal RNA is filed under the name Hordeum bulbosum. The record is from RNAcentral. Lineage: Eukaryota; Viridiplantae; Streptophyta; Magnoliopsida; Poales; Poaceae.